This is a long non-coding RNA of Alligator mississippiensis (American alligator), 4021 nucleotides long. RefSeq lists it as uncharacterized. The record is from RefSeq and is a predicted model, not a curated record. Lineage: Eukaryota; Metazoa; Chordata; Crocodylia; Alligatoridae. The transcript has 6 exons.
UCAUGACAAUCUAAAUACAAAUAACUUGAACUUUUCCAUGGUCUUUUCAUAGACUGGAAAAUCCCCCAGCUGUGUCCUAGGAGCUGGGGGAGAGCGGGUUCUCACAGUGAUGAAGAAGUUCCUGGAGUUUUCUGUUGCUUUCAUGCAACCAGUUCUGGCAGAAGAGUUUUCUCUUUGAUGGGCAGCCCCUGCAUCGCCCUGCACAACAUCUUGGAGAAAUACCAAUAAAGAGAACGCCGCAGAGGGACCCUGCCCCACCAUCCCCAUGAGUUUCCUUCAGUGUGAGAGAGUAACCAGGCCUUGGGAAACCAGAGGCAAAGGUUUAGUUCAGUAAGGCCAUGUCUAAACUGCAAACUUCCUGUGUCUGGCAACAGCACCCUCAGAUACACCACGCUACUCUGCAGGCGCGGCCCUGCUCUGGAAGCAGCGAUGCACUGUCACAGCACGGUUAGCAACCUGUCCUUUGGGCUGUGCUGCUUCUGGUGAGGGGGUCAGGCGUACAUCACAGCGGGCCAUGCUUGGGGGCACUCUCUGCCAAACGCGGUAGGUUUGUAGUCUAGACACGGCCCGAAUAUCAUUGCUUGUCAACAAAUAUACUUUUUCAGUCCAUUACCACUUGUGAGUAGGGACCUUUCUAAUUCACGGCAGCUGCCUUUGGAUUUCACAGUCCUGGCACAGUGCCAGGCACCAAAUUUGUGGCAGUGUGGUACCCCCUCUCCCCCCAGCUCUGAUUGGUUGAGGGGCCCUGGAAGUCCUUCCCCUCCCUGGAGAUUGACAGAUGACCAUCUGUUAAUCAUUGGGGAGGGGCAGGACUUCUGGGGCCAGGUGGCCAUCUGUCAAUCUCUGGGGAGGGGUGGGACAUCUGGGGCCCCAUAGCCAAUCAGAGGCAUGGGGGGGCUGCCACACCCUGCUGUCAAAAUCUCCCUUGUGUCUCCCCUCCUCUCCCUCCCCCCAUGCUUAAGGAUGCUAAGGCUUUGCUCCCUUUUCUAUUUUUGCAGUGCCCCCCUUCCCCCAUUUCCUUUGUACAAGGCUCUCCCCAACUUGAUUUGCCCCGAGCCCCAUCUGAAUUGGGUUUUUCUGACUGCUCCAAAAUGAGCCAGAUCUUAUACCCCCAUCCACAACUCCCUCUUAGUUUUGGAUAGGAGUCUCAGGGUGCAUUUACAUGUGCCAUUAGGGGACAGCAAUAAACUGUGGAGUUUAUUGCUCUGCAGUUUAUUGCUCCCAGGUGCAUAUCUGCAUGUGCGCCUGGAUCACAGCAUAUGGACCUGGGUCACAGCAGGUCCAGUUGGCACGAGGCCUGGGCGGUCCUCCUACCAGCCCACGGCUGCUCCAACUGGGCUCAUUGUGCUGCAGAGCAGCUGGUUGGGGCACAAGGGUGCUUCAGUGCGGGGCUAGCUGGCAGGCAGCUCCAGCAUUGAGGCACCCUUGUGCCCUAGCCAGCCAGUCAGCAUCUACACGUGCACUGCUGUGCCUAAAAAAAACCCCAUAGCAGGGUAGUACCUGUAAAUACUUCUUUCUCUUACAAGUACUACCCUGCUGUGCAAUUUAUUUGUUUUGUGCACCCGAAUAAGGAUGCAAGUGUAGAUGCUGAGGUAUUACUGCCCAGUAAAUUAGUCAACUGCUCAGUAAAUGUUUUGAGUAGAUGUGCCCUCAGUGCUUCUGUAUUGGGACAGGCCAUUAAUCACAUAGGGAACUCUGAGGCACACAGGCAUGAUAUUUCCUUUCUCUCUCCCACUGUCUUUUGUAUUGUUGCUAAGUUUCUAUGUAGACACAUAGCACAAUGUAGACCUGAUCUCAGCUAGGCACUGUAGAUAUUGCUGUAAUGCAAAAUAUAUGUUAAUGAGGCAAGGAUUUUGGGGGGAGGGAGCGGUGAUAUCUUUUACUGGACCAACUGCAUGCUUUCCAAUGCAAGACAUAUUUUGGGUGACCUGAUAAAGGAUCUUGCAUUCCAAAGCUUGUCUAAGUUUAUUCCAACUAUGCAGUUAGUCCAAUAAAAGGUAUUGCCCAUCCUAAAUUUGUUGCCUCUCAUAUAAUUCCUGGACAAUUGUGGCUACAACAUCACCCUGAUGCUUACCAAUAAAUAUUAAUAUAAUUGGCAUCGACAGCUCUUAUGACAGAACCAAAACCGGUUGUUAGUUUUGGUGGUCAGUGCUUUGUGUCACAACCCAAAGUUGUGAUUUGUUGUUUGUGUGCCCUUCGGCAACGCUAAAUUAUGUUCCCACUAAAAUUACAGUUUCCUUUCACGGUGGACUUCUCUGCUGUGGGAGAGAACUCCGGUGCAAUUGGGGAUUUCCUGCCAAUUUGCAGCUUCUUUGCAUGGUGCAUUUCUUUUGCAUCUCAAAGAUGCACGGUGCAAAGGAGUUCCCGCCAUUUGUAUUUAGAUUCGCGCCACGUUAUUGGCCGGUUCUAAAUGUAGGCACACGUGGCGGCUAGCUAUUGGCUUGCUAGCCGUACAAAAGGCUUGAGUGGUUUCCACCCAAGUUGGAGGACUCCACGAACAUCAGGAGAGAGAGGAAAACUGGAGAGAGACAAAACUCACCAGGAGGAGGAGAGUUCGCACUGUGUGAAGAUCUCUAAGCGAUGUGGACCCUUGCGGACCCAACGCACCUUUCUUAAGCAGGCAACAGAGGUCUAAACAGCCUCUGGCCUCUCCCCGUCGCCAAGCGCAAUCCUAGACGUAUCCCUAUCCUAUAUAUACCCAAUUUUCAAACCCACGGAGUCUUAACAGCUCCGGGGGACCCGGGAACCGAACAAAACCCAUGGAGAUUCAGCCACUCCGUGAGGAAAGAAUUGCCGAACCCGCGGAGCCUAAACCACUCCGGGGCCAAAGAACCAAGUUUGUCAGAGUCCUCCAACGAGGACUCAAGCGGAGCUGCACCUGGAAAACUGUCCAGCCUACACCGCGACCAUCUUGGGUAAAAUGGAUAUGAUGUGACAUGACCAGUAUCAUUUUGCCUGCAUAAUUCGGAGCUUGAUAGAAAAAUGGUUGGUGAGUGAUGGAGAAAAGGACCUGCAAUUUCGGAAGGGAGUGGAGAAAAUGGGGACAUAUUUAUGCUCAGCUUGUUUGGGUGGGAUGGACUUCUGAACUUUGGGAUGCUUCUCCAGACUGAAAUAUGGAAACUCUUGAGACCCUACUACAAUGUGCCUUGUGUCUUUGGCUAGAGAGAAGAGAAGAGCUACCAACACCAUUCACCAAUGCAAAGGAGGCCGCAACGGCAAGUGGGUUGUGGCUUCCUACCUCAGUCCCAUCAGGAGUUUCCUUCAUUGGACUCACCAGGCGACAUGUGGAGGCCUUCUAUCGUGAACUCUGAAAGACACUGUCUCCUUGUGUGACCAAGUACGUCUGUUCACCAGAGCACCCCAAGGGAUGACGAGGUUGAAUGGUUAUAAACUACUGCAAGACUGUUUCAGGCUGGACAUAAGAAAGCAUUUCUUUACUGUCUGAGCCCCCGAGGUCUGGAAUAGCCUGCCAUCGGAGGUGGUUCAAGCACCUACAUUGAACACCUUCAAGAGAAAAUUGAAAUUAACCACUAACCAAGGCCAAACCCUAAAUUACACUAUUUACAACAUCACAAUACAACAUUUCAAUUACAAAAUAUAAGGUGCAAACAGGAACAAUCUUAAUAACAUCUACUCCUUAAUAUAAUCCCUGACCCAUGGCAAGAGAGAGUCCUUCUUCCAAUGGGGUCUCUUGGUGGGGGGUGUCCAGGAAGCACUAGGGGCCCUUCCCCUUAGGGCCUUGACUAGGUUGGGGGGCUGCUCACCCUGCCCCUUCUCUGGGUUUGCCCACCCCAAACAUCUUUCCCUGGUGGGACCCAAGAGCCCAGUGACUUACAUUCCCUCACGUGGCAGAGGUCAGGGCGCAGCUCUUUGGGGUCUCUUCUGCUGGAGUGCCUCUCCAGGCCUCUCCUACGCCACUGGGCUCCUCCCCACCCUAUGCACCACUCCAGGCACCCGAGGGCUCAGCUCCUCUCAGCUGCUGCACCACCGCUGCUGACUUCUGGGUGCUGGGCCUCAUGCU